RNAcentral lists this ribosomal RNA (301 nucleotides) under uncultured bacterium. RNAcentral describes it as "partial 16S ribosomal RNA". It matches the Rfam family "Bacterial small subunit ribosomal RNA", at positions 509 to 809 of the family's 1533-position model. The record is from RNAcentral.
CAGCCGCCGCGGGAAUACGGAGGGUGCAAGCGUUAAUCGGAAUUACUGGGCGUAAAGCGUGCGCAGGCGGUUCGUUAAGACAGAUGUGAAAUCCCCGGGCUUAACCUGGGAACUGCAUUUGUGACUGGCGAGCUAGAGUAUGGCAGAGGGGGGUAGAAUUCCACGUGUAGCAGUGGAAUGCGUAGAGAUCGGGAGGAACAUCAGUGGCGAAGGCGGCCAUCUGGGACAACACUGACGCUGAGGCACGAAAGCGUGGGGAGCAAACAGGAUUAGAUACCCCGGUAGUCCCUGUCUCUUAUCC